This 646-nucleotide ribosomal RNA is filed under the name Wickerhamiella pararugosa. RNAcentral's name for it is "bacterial SSU rRNA". The stretch from base 1 to 408 matches the Rfam family "Eukaryotic small subunit ribosomal RNA", at positions 1424 to 1831 of the family's 1831-position model. Lineage: Eukaryota; Fungi; Ascomycota; Dipodascomycetes; Dipodascales; Trichomonascaceae. The record is from RNAcentral.
CAGGAAAAACCUGAUGGAGGUUCGAGGCAAUAACAGGUCUGUGAUGCCCUUAGACGUUCUGGGCCGCACGCGCGCUACACUGAUACAGCCAGCGAGUCUAAACCCUUGUCCGAGAGGACUAGGUAAUCUUGUUAAACUGUAUCGUGCUGGGGAUAGAGCUUUGCAAUUUUUGCUCUUGAACGAGGAAUUCCUAGUAAGCGCAAGUCAUCAGCUUGCGUUGAUUACGUCCCUGCCCUUUGUACACACCGCCCGUCGUUACUACCGAUUGAGUGACUUAGUGAAGCCUUUGGACGUGCGAUUGAUGAGGGCGACCUCUGCCGUUGUACGAAAAUUGGAUGAACUUGGCCAUUUAGAGGAAGUAGAAGUCGUAACAAGGUUUCCGUAGGUGAACCUUCGGAAGGAUCAUUAUAGAUUUAUUGAUACUUUGUGAAUGAAUUAUAAGCUUUAUGCGAAAUACUUUUUAUUAAUUUUAGUCUAAAAAAACGAAAUCAAAACCUUUAACAGUGGUUCUCUUGGUUCUCGUAUCGAUGAAGAACGCAGCAAGGCGCGAUAGAUAAUGUGAAUUGCAGACGUGAAUCAUUGAGUUUUUGAACGCACAUUGCACCUCUUUGGAGGUAUACUUGUGUGAGCGUCAUUUUUUCUCCAC